Molecule: long non-coding RNA, 1796 nt
Organism: Perca fluviatilis (European perch)
Lineage: Eukaryota; Metazoa; Chordata; Actinopteri; Perciformes; Percidae
Exons: 4
Source: RefSeq, a predicted model, not a curated record
GUACGCGCUUCGUUGUCCGCCAAAACACAAGAAGAGAAGAAGACGACGGAGUUCAGGUUAAAUGGAGACAGGAGCAGCUAAAUCAUCUUAAAGCCCCAAUGCAACAACUCUAAAUUUGACAGAGUGCCCUCUCAAGCAGCCACAACAGCAAGCUGUGUCACAAGCAAAGCUGGCAAUUCAGCCUCCACCGGAAAAGUUCUCCUGCUACAGCAUUUGAUUUGAAUGGCUAAUGUAAGAAUAUCAGCAGAGAGGAAGCUCAAAAGGACCAGGCUGAGCAAGUCCUGAGGAUCUGUGUCUUCCACACAAGUGAAGAAGAUGAAGUUGCAUCCGAAACUGAUGUGUCGAUUGUUAUUGAAGGGCAUGAGGUACUUGACAACUGUGGAAGUGUUGCAAAAGACUGUCUCCUGCUUGUAGGCAUCAUUUAUGCCAUGAACUUGAAAAACGAAGUACACUUUUGAAAAUUUUAAAAGCUAAACAAAGCUUAUAACUUGAAUGCACAUGUUUGACCCAUGAGUUGUCAUUUCAAAGAGGGCGCUAAAAGAAAAGUAUGGCACAGUUGUUUAUGUGGCUAUUUGUCUAUUUUCUUAUUUUUCUCUCGUUUUAAUGAUGUAGUUUUUAUUUUAACUUGUUGCACUGUAUUAAACAUGUGGCCAUGUAGAGUGGCUAAGUUGUGGGGACAAAAGAAAAGAAGUUAGAUCAGCAUUUUCAAGUCAAACCAGAGGUUCUCAACUGGUGGGUCGUGUGGCCAUUUUCAAUGGGUCACAGAUGUGAGUGUGGGCAUGUAAAGCGCAAAACAGCGAAAUAUCCCACUUUUUAUUGUUAAGAUGCUCUGCUUUUUGUAGGAUAUUACUCAUGAUACAUGUUUAGAACCUCAGGGCAAAACACUGUUCUUUAAGAUGCAAUGUUUAAAGAUGAAACCAAUAAUCAUGUCUUUUAAGAUGCACUGUAGGUUCCUGAAGCAUGUCAAUUUUUUUUUUUAGAGUUUAAGGUUAAAAAGCCUAUCCAAAAGAUAGGUUACAUACUGUAUGCUCUAUGCCAACAGUUCCUGAACUUUUCCUUGUGCCUUUUAACAAGCUACCUCAAACCUAUUUUAGCCACCCUAAGAUGAAAUUUCUGUCAUCUACUCACCCUGAUGCCAAUGGGACUGAAUUUUGGUCAACAUUCAUGCUCUUCUCUCUUGUGUUUCUCAUAAAACUGCAGUGAACAUCAACUUGGCUUCAAACAUCCAAAAAAUGUCAUGAAUUAAAAAAAAAAAGUCUUCAUACUGCUCAUCUGAAGUAACCCAAGUGUCCUGCAUCUUACACAUUCCUAGAUGUUUACAAAAAAAAACAUAACAAAAUUGUGUUUUGGCUGCAUUUGCUAUGCUUUGCUUCCUCUGUGGUGCUACGUGAACACGGAUGGGCUGGCUGGAAGUUAAUAGUGUGGAAGUUUGCAUGCAGAGUUGGAAGGGGCACGCAUGGGAAGAGCAGCAGAGCAAACAAAGUUGAAAACACAUUUGUAAUGUUUUUUACAAACGUCUUGGCAUGUGUGAACUACAGGACACUUGGAUUACCUCAGAUGAGCAGUAUGGAGACAUUUUAUUGAUUGAUGUAAUUUGGACGACUCACUGCAGUUGAACGGAAAACACGUCUCAAACGCGCAGAAGAACACUGAUGUUAACUUGUUUUUGACAAAGGCGUGAGUAAAUAACAAAAUUCAUCUUAGGUUGAACUAUACCUUGUUGUUUUGCCAUGCAAACUUGCUGGAAAAUGUUUCAUUGAAGAAAAUAUUUCUUUAAAUAAAUGGGUUAAGUUAAA